RNAcentral lists this ribosomal RNA (463 nucleotides) under uncultured bacterium. Its description in RNAcentral is "partial 16S ribosomal RNA". It matches the Rfam family "Bacterial small subunit ribosomal RNA", at positions 28 to 507 of the family's 1533-position model. The record is from RNAcentral.
GAUGAACGCUGACAGAAUGCUUAACACAUGCAAGUCUUUGGCGAAGCUGUGCUUGCACAGCCUAGCCAAGGCGGACGGGUGAGUAACGCGUAAGGAACUUGCCCUGCAGUCAGGGAUAACAGACGGAAACGACUGAUAAGACCUGGUAAAGUCAGGCGGACUCAUGUCCAGCCUGAUGAAAAGAGAUGCUGCAGGAGAGCCUUGCGUCCUAUUAGCUUGUUGGUGGGGUAACGGCCCACCAAGGCGAUGAUAGGUAGCCGGCCUGAGAGGGUGGACGGCCACAAGGGGACUGGGAUACGGCACUUACUCCUACGGGAGGCAGCGGUGGGGAAUAUUGGACAAUGGGGGCAACCCUGAUCCAGCAAUUCUGUGUGCACGAUGAAGGUUUUCGGAUUGAAAAGUGCUUUCAGCAGGGAAGAAAAAAAUGACGGUACCUGCAGAAGAAGCGACGGCUAAAUACGUG